GUGCGCCGGCGACCGGUGCCUGACGCGCACCAGCCGAGCGGCAAAGCUCAAAUUUGAAAUCCUGCGGGAAUUGUAAAAAGAAGGUUUCGUGGUCUGAGUCGGCCGCGCCCAAGUCCAUUGGAACAUGGCGCCUGGGAGGGUGAGAGCCCCGUAUGGCGCACGCCGACUCUUUGUACACCGCGGCUCCCACGAGUCGAGUUGUUUGGGAAUGCAGCUCUAAGUGGGUGGUAAAUUCCAUCUAAAGCUAAAUAUUGGCGAGAGACCGAUAGCGAACAAGUACAGUGAUGGAAAGAUGAAAAGCACUUUGAAAAGAGAGUGAAACAGCACGUGAAAUUGUUGAAAGGGAAGGGCUUGCAAGCAGACACGGUUUUACCGGGCCAGCGUCGAAAAGGGGGGAGGAACAAGAACUCGAGAAUGUGGCGCGCACCUUCGGGCGCGCGUGUUAUAGCUCGUGUUGACGCCUCCAUCCCUUUUCGAGGCCUGCGAUUCUAGGACGCUGGCGUAAUGGUUGCAAGCCGCCCGUCUUGAAACACGGAA
RNAcentral lists this ribosomal RNA (537 nucleotides) under Clavispora sp. Its description in RNAcentral is "partial large subunit ribosomal RNA". It matches the Rfam family "Eukaryotic large subunit ribosomal RNA", at positions 1 to 666 of the family's 3401-position model. Lineage: Eukaryota; Fungi; Ascomycota; Pichiomycetes; Serinales; Metschnikowiaceae. The record is from RNAcentral.